GCCGAUAUAGCUCAGUUGGUAGAGCGGCUGAUUCGUAAUCAUCAGGUCAAGGGUUCGAGUCCCUUUAUCGGCUCCA
This 76-nucleotide transfer RNA is filed under the name Clostridiales bacterium. RNAcentral describes it as "tRNA-Thr". It matches the Rfam family "tRNA". From Rfam's summary of the family: Transfer RNA (tRNA) molecules are approximately 80 nucleotides in length. Their secondary structure includes four short double-helical elements and three loops (D, anti-codon, and T loops). Further hydrogen bonds mediate the characteristic L-shaped molecular structure. tRNAs have two regions of fundamental functional importance: the anti-codon, which is responsible for specific mRNA codon recognition, and the 3' end, to which the tRNAs corresponding amino acid is attached (by aminoacyl-tRNA synthetases). tRNAs cope with the degeneracy of the genetic code in two manners: having more than one tRNA (with a specific anti-codon) for a particular amino acid; and 'wobble' base-pairing, i.e. permitting non-standard base-pairing at the 3rd anti-codon position. RNAcentral also lists the same sequence under 4 other names. Lineage: Bacteria; Bacillati; Bacillota; Clostridia; Eubacteriales. The record is from RNAcentral.